RNAcentral lists this ribosomal RNA (159 nucleotides) under Lodderomyces jiufengensis. RNAcentral's name for it is "Candida jiufengensis 5.8S ribosomal RNA". It matches the Rfam family "5.8S ribosomal RNA". Rfam says of the family: 5.8S ribosomal RNA (5.8S rRNA) is a component of the large subunit of the eukaryotic ribosome. It is transcribed by RNA polymerase I as part of the 45S precursor that also contains 18S and 28S rRNA. Functionally, it is thought that 5.8S rRNA may be involved in ribosome translocation. The record is from RNAcentral. Lineage: Eukaryota; Fungi; Ascomycota; Pichiomycetes; Serinales; Debaryomycetaceae.
AAAACUUUCAACAACGGAUCUCUUGGUUCUCGCAUCGAUGAAGAACGCAGCGAAAUGCGAUAAGUAAUAUGAAUUGCAGAUAUUCGUGAAUCAUCGAAUCUUUGAACGCACAUUGCGCCCUUUGGUAUUCCAAAGGGCAUGCCUGUUUGAGCGUCAUUU